This 585-nucleotide ribosomal RNA is filed under the name uncultured bacterium. RNAcentral's name for it is "bacterial SSU rRNA". It matches the Rfam family "Bacterial small subunit ribosomal RNA", at positions 338 to 916 of the family's 1533-position model. The record is from RNAcentral.
CCUACGGGAGGCAGCAGUGGGGAAUUUUGGACAAUGGGCGCAAGCCUGAUCCAGCAAUGCCGCGUGCAGGACGAAGGCCUUCGGGUUGUAAACUGCUUUUGUACGGAGCGAAAAGGCUCUCUCUAAUACAGGGAGUUCAUGACGGUACCGUAAGAAUAAGCACCGGCUAACUACGUGCCAGCAGCCGCGGUAAUACGUAGGGUGCAAGCGUUAAUCGGAAUUACUGGGCGUAAAGCGUGCGCAGGCGGUUAUGUAAGACAGAGGUGAAAUCCCCGGGCUCAACCUGGGAACUGCCUUUGUGACUGCAUAGCUAGAGUACGGCAGAGGGGGAUGGAAUUCCGCGUGUAGCAGUGAAAUGCGUAGAUAUGCGGAGGAACACCGAUGGCGAAGGCAAUCCCCUGGGCCUGUACUGACGCUCAUGCACGAAAGCGUGGGGAGCAAACAGGAUUAGAUACCCUGGUAGUCCACGCCCUAAACGAUGUCAACUGGUUGUUGGGUCUUCACUGACUCAGUAACGAAGCUAACGCGUGAAGUUGACCGCCUGGGGAGUACGGCCGCAAGGUUGAAACUCAAAUGAAUUGACGG